CAGCUCAGGCCCGGUCUCAAAGCGAGCUAACCCUUCGCCUUUUACUAAAGGUUACCGUGCGAACGGGCCACUAAUGAGCCUUUAGGCCAAUUUUUGGAUGGCCCUGAUCGUUUGACCGGGGCC
Molecule: small nuclear RNA, 123 nt
Organism: Ixodes scapularis (black-legged tick)
Lineage: Eukaryota; Metazoa; Arthropoda; Arachnida; Ixodida; Ixodidae
Product: U5 spliceosomal RNA
Exons: 1
Source: RefSeq, a predicted model, not a curated record